CCUACGGGGGGCAACAGUAGGGAAUCUUCCGCAAUGGACGAAAGUCUGACGGAGCAACGCCGCGUGAGCGAAGAAGGCCUUCGGGUCGUAAAGCUCUGUUGUUAGGGAAGAACAAGUACCGGAGUAACUGCCGGUACCGUGACGGUACCUAACCAGAAAGCCACGGCUAACUACGUGCCAGCAGCCGCGGUAAUACGUAGGUGGCAAGCGUUGUCCGGAAUUAUUGGGUGUAAAGCGAGCGCAGGCGGUUCCUUAAGUCUGAUGUGAAAGCCCACGGCCCAACCGUGGAGGGNCAUUGGAAACUGGGGAACUUGAGUGCAGAAGAGGAGAGCGGAAUUCCACGUGUAGAGGUGAAAUGCGUAGAGAUGUGGAGGAACACCAGUGGCGAAGGCGGCUCUCUGGUCUGUAACUGACGCUGAGGCGCGAAAGCGUGGGGAGCAAACAGGAUUAGAUACCCUAGUAGUC
RNAcentral lists this ribosomal RNA (465 nucleotides) under uncultured bacterium. RNAcentral describes it as "bacterial SSU rRNA". It matches the Rfam family "Bacterial small subunit ribosomal RNA", at positions 338 to 795 of the family's 1533-position model. The record is from RNAcentral.